UACGUAGGGUGCAAGCGUUAAUCGGAAUUACUGGGCGUAAAGCGUGCGCAGGCGGUUAUGUAAGACAGGGGCGAAAUCCCAGGGCUUAACCUUGGAACUGCAUUUGUGACUGCAUAGCUAGAGUACGGUAGAGGGGGAUGGAAUUCCGCGUGUAGCAGUGAAAUGCGUAGAUAUGCGGAGGAACACCGAUGGCGAAGGCAAUCCCCUGGGCCUGUACUGACGCUCAUGCACGAAAGCGUGGGGAGCAAACAGG
RNAcentral lists this ribosomal RNA (253 nucleotides) under uncultured bacterium. RNAcentral's name for it is "partial 16S ribosomal RNA". It matches the Rfam family "Bacterial small subunit ribosomal RNA", at positions 524 to 776 of the family's 1533-position model. The record is from RNAcentral.